RNAcentral lists this ribosomal RNA (253 nucleotides) under uncultured bacterium. Its description in RNAcentral is "partial 16S ribosomal RNA". It matches the Rfam family "Bacterial small subunit ribosomal RNA", at positions 524 to 776 of the family's 1533-position model. The record is from RNAcentral.
UACGUAGGGUGCGAGCGUUGUUCGGAAUCACUGGGCAUAAAGCGCACGUAGGCGGCGGCGUAAGUUGGAUGUGAAAUCCCCCGGCCCAACCGGGGAACUGCGUCCAGUACUGCGUUGCUUGAGGAUCCAAGGGGCGCAUGGAAUUCCCGGUGGAGCGGUGAAAUGCGUUGAUAUCGGGAGGAACUCCGGCGGCGAAAGCGGUGCACUGGUGGAUUACUGACGCUGAGGUGCGAAAGCCAGGGGAGCAAACGGG